Molecule: ribosomal RNA, 350 nt
Filed under: uncultured bacterium
Lineage: Bacteria
Description: bacterial SSU rRNA
Rfam family: Bacterial small subunit ribosomal RNA
Source: RNAcentral
ACUCCUACGGGAGGCAGCAGUGGGGAAUAUUGGACAAUGGGCGGAAAGCCUGAUCCAGCAAUGCCGCGUGAGUGAUGAAGGCCUUAGGUUGUAAGCUCUUUUACCCCGGGUAUGAUAAUGACAGUACCGGGAGAAUAAGCUCCGGCUAACUCCGUGCCAGCAGCCGCGGUAAUACGGAGGAGCUAGCGUUGUUUCGGAUUACUGGCGUAAAGCGCACGUAGGCGGCUUUUGUAAGUCAGAGGUGAAAGCCUGGAGCUCAACUCCAGAACUGCCUUUUGAGACUGCAUCGCUUGAAUCCAGGAGAGGUGAGUGGAAUUCCGAGUGUAGAGGUGAAAUUCGUAGAUAUUCGG